GUCCUGGCAGUAAACGGUGCACGUUUGGUGUGGGAGGAUUCGACCCCUUCCGCGCCGGAGCUAACGCGUUAAACGUGCCGCCUGGGGAGUACGGUCGCAAGAUUAAAACUCAAAGAAAUUGACGGGGGCCCGCACAAGCGGUGGAGUAUGUGGCUUAAUUCGAUGCAACGCGAAGAACCUUACCAGGCCUUGACAUGCAUUUCUAAGUUGGUGAAAGCCAGCGAGUCCCGAAAGGGACAACUUGCACAGGUGCUGCAUGGCUGUCGU
This 267-nucleotide ribosomal RNA is filed under the name uncultured bacterium. RNAcentral describes it as "partial 16S ribosomal RNA". It matches the Rfam family "Bacterial small subunit ribosomal RNA", at positions 793 to 1055 of the family's 1533-position model. The record is from RNAcentral.